Molecule: ribosomal RNA, 255 nt
Filed under: uncultured bacterium
Lineage: Bacteria
Description: partial 16S ribosomal RNA
Rfam family: Bacterial small subunit ribosomal RNA
Source: RNAcentral
UACGUAGGGUGCGAGCGUUGUCCGGAAUUAUUGGGCGUAAAGAGCUUGUAGGCGGUUUGUCGCGUCUGCUGUGAAAAUCCGGGGCUCAACCCCGGACUUGCAGUGGGUACGGGCAGACUAGAGUGUGGUAGGGGAGACUGGAAUUCCUGGUGUAGCGGUGAAAUGCGCAGAUAUCAGGAGGAACACCGAUGGCGAAGGCAGAUCUCUGGGCCGUAACUGGACGCUGGAGGAGCGAAAGCAUGGGGAGCGAACAGG